Molecule: long non-coding RNA, 1053 nt
Organism: Eutrema salsugineum
Lineage: Eukaryota; Viridiplantae; Streptophyta; Magnoliopsida; Brassicales; Brassicaceae
Exons: 4
Source: RefSeq, a predicted model, not a curated record
UCAUCAAACAUUUUCCCCGACCAAAUCGUCUCCACCGACGAUUCAUCGUCAUCUCCAUCGACAUCUCCGGCGCAAUGGCCAUCUCUUCCGGGCCAAUUUGCAUAUGACGCCAUCUCUGCUUCGACGAUCUUUUGCUCUCCGAAGAAGAGAGCUUUCGAUGUUAUCCAGCGUCUCUAUGGCGUUGAUCAACGCUUGCGCUGCGGUUAAUUUCGCGAUUGUUUUGAUGGAGAUUCUGUUAAUGGUUAUUUGAAUCUGGAAGAGCUGGCGCAAGAAAUUACGCAGCCUUCACGAGAAAGGUUAAACGGAGGCAUCUCGGAAACCAAUUCAGAGUUUGCUUUCUAUGAAACUGAACCAGCUUCUCUAAACCUUCACGAAAAGCUUUCGAUGGAAUGCUUUUGCUUCAUCAAGAUAUGAAUUCCCAGACACAGAGCUUAUUUACUCUCCUUUCAGGUCUAUGUCAUUCCUAUAAACUACAACUUGGGAACCAAUCCAUAGAUGUAUAUAUAUACACUUACACAUAUAUACUUCAUCAUCUUCUUCUUCUUCUGAAGUCAUUACUUUGCUUCACUGUCUUAUUAAUGUUGUAUCUUCUUGUUUGCUUCCUUUGUUUUUAUCUUGGGUUUCAUGAGUUUUAUUAUACAAUUGUAUACAUGGAUCAAAGUGCAUAUCAUUUUGUAAUAGAUAGACAAAUCAAGUAUAUAAUCAUAUUCUCUAAAAGACUUCCUACACUUAGUGUAGUGUGUAUAUCUGGAACUUAAGAAGAAGAGCUUAUUGUUCAAGGUGUUCGAUUUGCAUUCCGUGUUCAUCAGUUCGCAGGAGAAUUUGAUGCAGAGACAAUGAGGGCAUUUCAAGAGCUAAGAGAUAAAGCGAGACCAUGCCAUGUUCAGUGUCAAAACCAAACACAUCAACAUAAGCUUGUUUUUCGAUCUACCCCUUGUUUAAGCAAUCUUAGCUUCAUAUCCACACACCUCUUUGGUAUUUGUUGUAAUUUUCUCUAUUAAAUUUGUUUUCUAAGACAAAUAAAUCAUGUGAAUAUAUUCUCUAUGAAACACA